Molecule: ribosomal RNA, 712 nt
Filed under: Bacillus thuringiensis
Lineage: Bacteria; Bacillati; Bacillota; Bacilli; Caryophanales; Bacillaceae
Description: bacterial SSU rRNA
Rfam family: Bacterial small subunit ribosomal RNA
Source: RNAcentral
AGUCGAGCGAAUGGAUUGAGAGCUUGCUCUCAAGAAGUUAGCGGCGGACGGGUGAGUAACACGUGGGUAACCUGCCCAUAAGACUGGGAUAACUCCGGGAAACCGGGGCUAAUACCGGAUAAUAUUUUGAACUGCAUGGUUCGAAAUUGAAAGGCGGCUUCGGCUGUCACUUAUGGAUGGACCCGCGUCGCAUUAGCUAGUUGGUGAGGUAACGGCUCACCAAGGCAACGAUGCGUAGCCGACCUGAGAGGGUGAUCGGCCACACUGGGACUGAGACACGGCCCAGACUCCUACGGGAGGCAGCAGUAGGGAAUCUUCCGCAAUGGACGAAAGUCUGACGGAGCAACGCCGCGUGAGUGAUGAAGGCUUUCGGGUCGUAAAACUCUGUUGUUAGGGAAGAACAAGUGCUAGUUGAAUAAGCUGGCACCUUGACGGUACCUAACCAGAAAGCCACGGCUAACUACGUGCCAGCAGCCGCGGUAAUACGUAGGUGGCAAGCGUUAUCCGGAAUUAUUGGGCGUAAAGCGCGCGCAGGUGGUUUCUUAAGUCUGAUGUGAAAGCCCACGGCUCAACCGUGGAGGGUCAUUGGAAACUGGGAGACUUGAGUGCAGAAGAGGAAAGUGGAAUUCCAUGUGUAGCGGUGAAAUGCGUAGAGAUAUGGAGGAACACCAGUGGCGAAGGCGACUUUCUGGUCUGUAACUGACACUGAGGC